UACCCGCUGAACUUAAG
Molecule: ribosomal RNA, 17 nt
Filed under: Pratylenchus agilis
Lineage: Eukaryota; Metazoa; Nematoda; Chromadorea; Rhabditida; Pratylenchidae
Description: partial 28S ribosomal RNA
Source: RNAcentral